UUGUGAACUGCAGGACACAUGAACACCGACAAGUUGAACGCAUAUGGCGCAUCGGACGUUUAAACCCGACCGAUGCUCACAUUCUUGAGUGCCUACCAAAUCCUUCUUACACUUAACACGAGACUACAGGACGGGGGCGUGCAGCGAAUCAAAACACUCUGGCGUACGAACCGCCGGGUGUCGCUGAGAACACGUCCUCGACUGUGCAUAUUAGCGUGCUGGGUUCCUUGCGGACCGGGGGCGCUUAAGGCAGGUAAGGCGAUACUGUUACCUAACCGGGUACGUGCCAAGUCACGCGGGUCGUUAUCACGCAAUAGACGGAGACCCUGAGAGCAACGGAGCCUUCUAACACCGGGCUACUACCGGUCUCUCGGGACAAUCUCGUCGCUGGAUAACGUGUAACGCGCGUGACCCAUGCACACACCAGUGCUUGGGAGGGUGCAGUAUGUGCUACUAUUUACCCGCUGUCAAUACGUAGGCCUCAAGUGAUGUGUGACAACCCCCUGAAUUUAAGCAUAAU
Molecule: ribosomal RNA, 520 nt
Filed under: Anopheles sp. 1 BSL-2014
Lineage: Eukaryota; Metazoa; Arthropoda; Insecta; Diptera; Culicidae
Description: eukaryotic LSU rRNA
Source: RNAcentral